Molecule: ribosomal RNA, 364 nt
Filed under: uncultured bacterium
Lineage: Bacteria
Description: partial 16S ribosomal RNA
Rfam family: Bacterial small subunit ribosomal RNA
Source: RNAcentral
CCUACGGGAGACAGCAGUGAGGAAUAUUGGUCAAUGGACGCAAGUCUGAACCAGCCAUGCCGCGUGCAGGAAGACGGCUCUAUGAGUUGUAAACUGCUUUUGUACGAGGGUAAACGCGGAUACGUGUAUAUGUCUGAAAGUAUCGUACGAAGAAGGAUCGACUAACACCGUGCCAGCAGCCGCGGUAAUACGGAGGGUUCAAGCGUUAUCCGGAUUUAUUGGGUUUAAAGGGUGCGUAGGCGGUAGGAUAAGUUAGAGGUGAAAUCCCGAGGCUCAACUUCGGAAUUGCCUCUGAUACUGUUCAGCUAGAGUGUAGUUGCGGUAAGCGGAAUGUAUGGUGUAGCGGUGAAAUGCUUAGAGAUUA